Molecule: small nuclear RNA, 136 nt
Organism: Pygocentrus nattereri (red-bellied piranha)
Lineage: Eukaryota; Metazoa; Chordata; Actinopteri; Characiformes; Serrasalmidae
Gene: U1
Rfam family: U1 spliceosomal RNA
About the family: U1 is a small nuclear RNA (snRNA) component of the spliceosome (involved in pre-mRNA splicing).
Source: Ensembl
ACAGUUUGGGAAUGGUUCACCCAGGGAGAGGCUCUGCCAUUGCCAUGGUGGUGGUGACCCUUCCGGAUUCCCCAAAUGUGGGAAUCUCAAAUGCAUAGUUUCUGGUAGUGGGGGACUACAUUCACACUCUCCCCUG